AAAACUGGUACGGACAAGGGGAAUCCGACUGUGUAAUUAAAACAAAGCAUUGUGAUGGCCCCUAUGGAGGUUGACACAAUGUGAUUUAUGCCCAGUGCUCUGCAUGUCAAAGUGAAGAAAUUCAACCAAGCGCGGAUAAACGACAUGAGUAAUUAUGACUCUCUUAAGGUAUCAACAUGCCUCAUAAUUUAAUUAGUGUCGUGAAUGAAUGGAUUAAUGAUAUUCCCACUAUCUCUAGCUACUAUCUAGAGAAACCACAGUCAAGGGAACGGGCUUGGAAAAAUUAGUGGGGAAAGAAGACCAUGUUGAGAUUAACUCUAGUCUGACUUUGUGAAAUGACUAUAUAAUAAGUGGGAGUCAUUUGCAGGGCAAGUGAAAUACAACUACUUUUAAUGCUAUUUUACUUAUUCCGUAGGGAAGAGAUGGGGCAUUGCACAUAUGUUAAAAGAUAACGGACAUUUCCUCAAAGUGUUGUCAUUGAUGUCAAUAGUCGAGAGCUCAUUAUUCACACACUUGAUGGAAAUGAGUUUAGGAAACCAAAGAGGAUCAUUGCUUUUAAGGACGAACAAAGUUCCUACAAUCCCUAUGCUUUUAGCCAACAUCCGCCUAU
Molecule: non-coding RNA, 610 nt
Organism: Picea glauca (white spruce)
Lineage: Eukaryota; Viridiplantae; Streptophyta; Pinopsida; Pinales; Pinaceae
Source: Rfam